Molecule: ribosomal RNA, 559 nt
Filed under: uncultured bacterium
Lineage: Bacteria
Description: bacterial SSU rRNA
Rfam family: Bacterial small subunit ribosomal RNA
Source: RNAcentral
AAAUAGAUACCCAGGUAGUCCACGCCGUAAACGAUGAGUGCUAAGUGUUAGGGGGUUUCCGCCCCUUAGUGCUGCAGCUAACGCGUUAAGCACUCCGCCUGGGGAGUACGGUCGCAAGACUGAAACUCAAAGGAAUUGACGGGGGCCCGCACAAGCGGUGGAGCAUGUGGUUUAAUUCGAAGCAACGCGAAGAACCUUACCAGGUCUUGACAUCCCAUUGACCACUAUGGAGACAUAGUUUUCCCUUCGGGGACAACGGUGACAGGUGGUGCAUGGUUGUCGUCAGCUCGUGUCGUGAGAUGUUGGGUUAAGUCCCGCAACGAGCGCAACCCUUGUUCUUAGUUGCCAUCAUUUAGUUGGGCACUCUAAGGAGACUGCCGGUGACAAACCGGAGGAAGGUGGGGAUGACGUCAAAUCAUCAUGCCCCUUAUGACCUGGGCUACACACGUGCUACAAUGGACGGUACAAACGGGUUGCCAACCCGCGGGGGGGUAGCUAAAUCCGGAUAAAACCGGUUCUCAGUUCGGAUUGUAGGCUGCAACUCGCUACAUGAAGCCGG